This is a long non-coding RNA of Lolium rigidum, 656 nucleotides long. RefSeq lists it as uncharacterized. The transcript is spliced from 5 exons. The record is from RefSeq and is a predicted model, not a curated record. NCBI's taxonomy places the organism in Eukaryota, Viridiplantae, Streptophyta, Magnoliopsida, Poales, Poaceae.
UCAUUUUCUUUCUGUUCGAGCAGCUACAAAAUUGACCAGUUCCAAGAAGAUUGGUGUGAUUGUGAGCAUUACCGUACAAAUAUACGGUUGGAAGGAUAUGGGAACAUUAUCUGCUUUACUUUUGCAUCUCAAGGCAACUACUGUCGCCUAGCAAUGUGUCCUGAUCAAAAUCUUAAUUUAUGAAGUACUACUAUGCCUACUGAGGGGGUGAGAUUGAGGCUUAUGAGCUUUGACACAUACAUCGGUUAUCAGGAUUAGUGCUUUUGGUGGUCCAAUUUGGCAAGAACACGAAGAAGGCCGAGUUGGUGAUGGCCCCUUAUGAGAGUGGCACUGGUAACGGGAAGCUUCUAUGACGUCGAAGAGGCUGCUGAGCAACCCACAGUUCCCCUAGGAUGAUUUAUCUUGCAGAUGGACUUCCGUUAUUAAGUGAGGAGCUUCAACCCGAUCUGAUCAUCUGACCAUUUUAUGGAGUGGUGUUGGCUGCAGGAUGGUGUCGCUGCAGGAUGACACAUGAUUAGCAAAUUUCUAUGAAUAUUACCACAGAUGACGACGAGCCCGUCAAUCAAUGGAGGAGGAGGCCAUGGAAGAGAGAAAGGAUGUGUGAAGAUGUUGUGGUUACCGACGGAGCGCUAGCUGUGGGCGACGACCGGGCCAGG